RNAcentral lists this ribosomal RNA (410 nucleotides) under uncultured bacterium. Its description in RNAcentral is "bacterial SSU rRNA". It matches the Rfam family "Bacterial small subunit ribosomal RNA", at positions 917 to 1322 of the family's 1533-position model. The record is from RNAcentral.
GGGCCCGCACAAGCGGUGGAGCAUGUGGUUUAAUUCGAAGCAACGCGCAGAACCUUACCCAGGCUUGACAUCCCGAGAACUUUGGGGAAACCCAUUGGUACCGUCGAAAGACGGGACUCGGUGACAGGUGCUGCAUGGCUGUCGUCAGCUCGUGCUGUGAGGUGUUCGGUUAAGUCCGGCAACGAGCGCAACCCCUGUCGCUAGUUACCAGCAUUUAGUUGGGUACUCUAGCGAGACUGCCGGUGACAAGCCGGAGGAAGGUGGGGACGACGUCAAGUCCUCAUGGCCCUUAUGUCUGGGGCUACACACGUGCUACAAUGGUGACUACAGAGGGCAGCGAAGCGGCGACGUGGAGCAAAUCCCAAAAAAGUCAUCUCAGUUCGGAUUGGAGUCUGCAACUCGACUCCAUG